ACAAACUCAUUCACAAAAAAGAAAAGCAAGAAUCUGUUGGAGAGCAAAUUAUAGGCGACAAGAGAGAGAGAGCAAUUAUAGGCGACGAGUGAGAGCAAACAUGCAUGAUCAAGUCAAGAGAGUACGGUGGUUUUUGAAGACGAAUAAGGCUGCGAACACAAAAUCAAAAGAAUUGUCAGCAGAAUUAAGGGGUUAACUCAGUCGUCAUUUGAUAGCGCCAGCGCCAAGAACUUGGUGAUAGUGAAAGGGAUCAUUGACGUCAAAACAACUCAUUCCUUAUCUCAAGAUUAAACGCACCGUCGAAGUUGUUCCGGCCAAAACAGAGUAGGCAGUGGCUGAGGUACAAAAUCCUUUCAUCAUUAGUCUAUUUGUAGUAUGUAUGUAGAUUUUAUGGGAAACUUGUUUUAAAUCGUUCUACACGGAUUUUAAACUGUUUUGCUUUGUCAAAACUUUUCUUUUUGGAGGGAGAUUUUUUAAAAAAAUUACCUAAUUGGUAAUUGAAACUUAUGUGUAUUCUCAUAGUGUGUCGAAACAGAUAGAAUGUGGGUCCUGUCAUUGAUUUGAUUGUUAGAGAACGUUAUGCUUCAUUUGUUUCGCACAUUUGGGAUAACUAAGUUCCUCUUAAUCAGUCUAGUGAUUUAAAAAAUUUCCCUAUCGUGUUUUAAUGUUUUGUAAAAAGUUUAAAAUCCUUUUGAACUCUUUUUUGUCAAAGCUUUUUAGAGGAAUUUUCAUAAUUACUUAAUUGAUCCGGACGAAGGAUGGAAAAGAUAUUGAAGAAGAACUUUGGUAUGUAUGAUAUGGUUUUGCAGCCAAAACAACUUUUAACGAUAUAAUAGAGUAUCUUUAAAAGUUGCUUGAGUGUUCAAUAGGCAUUAUAACAAUGAUAAAAGUUAAAGCCAAGUUGCUUAAGUGUUCAAUAGGCAUUAUAACUAACAAUGAUAAGAGUUAAAGUCAAGUUGCUUAAGUGUUCAAUUGUGGAAGUUUCCACUUUGUGUGGCUAAUAGAGACAAAACAUGAAGAAGAGUUGGAAUCGACAAAGAGGAUUUCCACCAAGGAAGCAAACAACGUCUUUUUCUUACGUCAUUUAACCAAACGUGAUUCUUACGUCAAUAUAACCAGACGUGACUCUCACGUCCACUUCUUUUCUCUCUUAAACUGACUUAUGAGGUGAAUGCUCUCGCAACGGGGACAUUUGUGUAAGCUCU
Molecule: long non-coding RNA, 1205 nt
Organism: Brassica oleracea var. oleracea
Lineage: Eukaryota; Viridiplantae; Streptophyta; Magnoliopsida; Brassicales; Brassicaceae
Exons: 3
Source: RefSeq, a predicted model, not a curated record